UUAAGCGACUAAGCGUACACGGUGGAUGCCCUGGCAGUCAGAGGCGAUGAAGGACGUGCUAAUCUGCGAUAAGCGUCGGUAAGGUGAUAUGAACCGUUAUAACCGGCGAUUUCCGAAUGGGGAAACCCAGUGUGAUUCGUCACACUAUCAUUAACUGAAUCCAUAGGUUAAUGAGGCGAACCGGGGGAACUGAAACAUCUAAGUACCCCGAGGAAAAGAAAUCAACCGAGAUUCCCCCAGUAGCGGCGAGCGAACGGGGAGCAGCCCAGAGCCUGAAUCAGUGUGUGUGUUAGUGGAAGCGUCUGGAAAGGCGUGCGAUACAGGGUGACAGCCCCGUACACAAAAAUGCACAUAUUGUGAGCUCGAUGAGUAGGGCGGGACACGUGGUAUCCUGUCUGAAUAUGGGGGGACCAUCCUCCAAGGCUAAAUACUCCUGACUGACCGAUAGUGAACCAGUACCGUGAGGGAAAGGCGAAAAGAACCCGGCGAGGGAGUGAAAAGAACCUGAAACCGUGUACGUACAAGCAGUGGGAGCACGCUUAGGCGUGUGACUGCGUACCUUUUGUAUAAUGGGUCAGCGACUUAUAUUCUGUAGCAAGGUUAACCGAAUAGGGGAGCCGAAGGGAAACCGAGUCUUAACUGGGCGUUAAGUUGCAGGGUAUAGACCCGAAACCCGGUGAUCUAGCCAUGGGCAGGUUGAAGGUUGGGUAACACUAACUGGAGGACCGAACCGACUAAUGUUGAAAAAUUAGCGGAUGACUUGUGGCUGGGGGUGAAAGGCCAAUCAAACCGGGAGAUAGCUGGUUCUCCCCGAAAGCUAUUUAGGUAGCGCCUCGUGAAUUCAUCUCCGGGGGUAGAGCACUGUUUCGGCAAGGGGGUCAUCCCGACUUACCAACCCGAUGCAAACUGCGAAUACCGGAGAAUGUUAUCACGGGAGACACACGGCGGGUGCUAACGUCCGUCGUGAAGAGGGAAACAACCCAGACCGCCAGCUAAGGUCCCAAAGUCAUGGUUAAGUGGGAAACGAUGUGGGAAGGCCCAGACAGCCAGGAUGUUGGCUUAGAAGCAGCCAUCAUUUAAAGAAAGCGUAAUAGCUCACUGGUCGAGUCGGCCUGCGCGGAAGAUGUAACGGGGCUAAACCAUGCACCGAAGCUGCGGCAGCGACACUAUGUGUUGUUGGGUAGGGGAGCGUUCUGUAAGCCUGUGAAGGUGUACUGUGAGGUAUGCUGGAGGUAUCAGAAGUGCGAAUGCUGACAUAAGUAACGAUAAAGCGGGUGAAAAGCCCGCUCGCCGGAAGACCAAGGGUUCCUGUCCAACGUUAAUCGGGGCAGGGUGAGUCGACUCCUAAGGCGAGGCCGAAAGGCGUAGUCGAUGGGAAACAGGUUAAUAUUCCUGUACUUGGUGUUACUGCGAAGGGGGACGGAGAAGGCUAUGUUGGCCGGGCGACGGUUGUCCCGGUUUAAGCGUGUAGGCUGGUUUUCCAGGCAAAUCCGGAAAACUAAGGCUGAGGCGUGAUGACGAGGCACUACGGUGCUGAAGCAACAAAUGCCCUGCUUCCAGGAAAAGCCUCUAAGCAUCAGGUAACAUCAAAUCGUACCCCAAACCGACACAGGUGGUCAGGUAGAGAAUACCAAGGCGCUUGAGAGAACUCGGGUGAAGGAACUAGGCAAAAUGGUGCCGUAACUUCGGGAGAAGGCACGCUGAUAUGUAGGUGAAGUCCCUCGCGGAUGGAGCUGAAAUCAGUCGAAGAUACCAGCUGGCUGCAACUGUUUAUUAAAAACACAGCACUGUGCAAACACGAAAGUGGACGUAUACGGUGUGACGCCUGCCCGGUGCCGGAAGGUUAAUUGAUGGGGUCAGCGCAAGCGAAGCUCUUGAUCGAAGCCCCGGUAAACGGCGGCCGUAACUAUAACGGUCCUAAGGUAGCGAAAUUCCUUGUCGGGUAAGUUCCGACCUGCACGAAUGGCGUAAUGAUGGCCAGGCUGUCUCCACCCGAGACUCAGUGAAAUUGAACUCGCUGUGAAGAUGCAGUGUACCCGCGGCAAGACGGAAAGACCCCGUGAACCUUUACUAUAGCUUGACACUGAACAUUGAGCCUUGAUGUGUAGGAUAGGUGGGAGGCUUUGAAGUGUGGACGCCAGUCUGCAUGGAGCCGACCUUGAAAUACCACCCUUUAAUGUUUGAUGUUCUAACGUUGACCCGUAAUCCGGGUUGCGGACAGUGUCUGGUGGGUAGUUUGACUGGGGCGGUCUCCUCCUAAAGAGUAACGGAGGAGCACGAAGGUUGGCUAAUCCUGGUCGGACAUCAGGAGGUUAGUGCAAUGGCAUAAGCCAGCUUGACUGCGAGCGUGACGGCGCGAGCAGGUGCGAAAGCAGGUCAUAGUGAUCCGGUGGUUCUGAAUGGAAGGGCCAUCGCUCAACGGAUAAAAGGUACUCCGGGGAUAACAGGCUGAUACCGCCCAAGAGUUCAUAUCGACGGCGGUGUUUGGCACCUCGAUGUCGGCUCAUCACAUCCUGGGGCUGAAGUAGGUCCCAAGGGUAUGGCUGUUCGCCAUUUAAAGUGGUACGCGAGCUGGGUUUAGAACGUCGUGAGACAGUUCGGUCCCUAUCUGCCGUGGGCGCUGGAGAACUGAGGGGGGCUGCUCCUAGUACGAGAGGACCGGAGUGGACGCAUCACUGGUGUUCGGGUUGUCAUGCCAAUGGCACUGCCCGGUAGCUAAAUGCGGAAGAGAUAAGUGCUGAAAGCAUCUAAGCACGAAACUUGCCCCGAGAUGAGUUCUCCCUGACUCCUUGAGAGUCCUGAAGGAACGUUGAAGACGACGACGUUGAUAGGCCGGGUGUGUAAGCGCAGCGAUGCGUUGAGCUAACCGGUACUAAUGAACCGUGAGGCUUAACCUU
RNAcentral lists this ribosomal RNA (2897 nucleotides) under Shigella dysenteriae 225-75. Its description in RNAcentral is "bacterial LSU rRNA". It matches the Rfam family "Bacterial large subunit ribosomal RNA". Lineage: Bacteria; Pseudomonadati; Pseudomonadota; Gammaproteobacteria; Enterobacterales; Enterobacteriaceae. The record is from RNAcentral.